This 364-nucleotide ribosomal RNA is filed under the name Microbacterium sp. TPD7012. RNAcentral describes it as "bacterial SSU rRNA". It matches the Rfam family "Bacterial small subunit ribosomal RNA", at positions 1 to 362 of the family's 1533-position model. Lineage: Bacteria; Bacillati; Actinomycetota; Actinomycetes; Micrococcales; Microbacteriaceae. The record is from RNAcentral.
UUUUACGGAGAGUUUGAUCCUGGCUCAGGAUGAACGCUGGCGGCGUGCUUAACACAUGCAAGUCGAACGGUGAACACGGAGCUUGCUCUGUGGGAUCAGUGGCGAACGGGUGAGUAACACGUGAGCAACCUGCCCCUGACUCUGGGAUAAGCGCUGGAAACGGCGUCUAAUACUGGAUAUGUGACGUGACCGCAUGGUCUGCGUCUGGAAAGAAUUUCGGUUGGGGAUGGGCUCGCGGCCUAUCAGCUUGUUGGUGAGGUAAUGGCUCACCAAGGCGUCGACGGGUAGCCGGCCUGAGAGGGUGACCGGCCACACUGGGACUGAGACACGGCCCAGACUCCUACGGGAGGCAGCAGUGGGGAAU